RNAcentral lists this ribosomal RNA (497 nucleotides) under uncultured bacterium. RNAcentral describes it as "partial 16S ribosomal RNA". It matches the Rfam family "Bacterial small subunit ribosomal RNA", at positions 28 to 507 of the family's 1533-position model. The record is from RNAcentral.
GAUGAACGCUGGCGGCGUGCCUAAUACAUGCAAGUCGAGCGAACAGACGAGGAGCUUGCUCCUCUGACGUUAGCGGCGGACGGGUGAGUAACACGUGGAUAACCUACCUAUAAGACUGGGAUAACUUCGGGAAACCGGAGCUAAUACCGGAUAAUAUAUUGAACCGCAUGGUUCAAUAGUGAAAGACGGUUUUGCUGUCACUUAUAGAUGGAUCCGCGCCGCAUUAGCUAGUUGGUAAGGUAACGGCUUACCAAGGCAACGAUGCGUAGCCGACCUGAGAGGGUGAUCGGCCACACUGGAACUGAGACACGGUCCAGACUCCUACGGGAGGCAGCAGUAGGGAAUCUUCCGCAAUGGGCGAAAGCCUGACGGAGCAACGCCGCGUGAGUGAUGAAGGUCUUCGGAUCGUAAGACUCUGUUAUUAGGGAAGAACAAAUGUGUAAGUAACUAUGCACGUCUUGACGGUACCUAAUCAGAAAGCCACGGCUAACUACGUG